AAAUUGAAGAGUUUGAUCAUGGCUCAGAUUGAACGCUGGCGGCAGGCCUAACACAUGCAAGUCGAACGGUAACAGGAAGCAGCUUGCUGCUUUGCUGACGAGUGGCGGACGGGUGAGUAAUGUCUGGGAAACUGCCUGAUGGAGGGGGAUAACUACUGGAAACGGUGGCUAAUACCGCAUAA
RNAcentral lists this ribosomal RNA (182 nucleotides) under Salmonella enterica subsp. enterica serovar Infantis. RNAcentral describes it as "partial 16S ribosomal RNA". It matches the Rfam family "Bacterial small subunit ribosomal RNA", at positions 1 to 176 of the family's 1533-position model. RNAcentral also lists the same sequence under 78 other names. The record is from RNAcentral. Lineage: Bacteria; Pseudomonadati; Pseudomonadota; Gammaproteobacteria; Enterobacterales; Enterobacteriaceae.